Molecule: long non-coding RNA, 591 nt
Organism: Dendroctonus ponderosae (mountain pine beetle)
Lineage: Eukaryota; Metazoa; Arthropoda; Insecta; Coleoptera; Curculionidae
Exons: 3
Source: RefSeq, a predicted model, not a curated record
GGAAGGUUGCGUUGUUGGAAUAUCGCGUCGGGGGCCGCCAUUAUUGAGUUUUCAGCUGAAUUAGGUGCGAUAGUUACUACAAGUUUACAAUUAAAAUGAAAAAUUCUCGUGGAAUUCAAUAAUACGAACCCGCUCAUACAUAAUCACAGUGCGUGAAAGAAGCUUAGUGAAUUUGUGAACGGAACUGGACAGUUUUACGCGCGAAUUGAGGAUAAAAGAAGUUCAGACUGCUGUGAAACUUACUAGCAAACCAGCUUGAUUCUGAGCUGAGUGACAUUUUUCAAAUGUUCAAUUGUUUUCAAACGUAAACAAAGGCUUCUGACAUCGGCAUUAAAGUUUUCCCUCGUUCUAACCUCUAAUAUGAAAAAUAUCAAUACCCAGACAGAAGUGAUUGCCACUUAUGAGUCCUCCAGGACAAGGCGCUCAUUGGUCGAAGGGAAUAUGCUCAAUAACGAUUCCAAUAAUGAUAAAGAAUAUGAAUCAAAUGGAUUUUAUGUUAGUUAAAAAACAACCAGCAAAGAAUCAGGUAACAGGACUUUUCAAAUAAUUUCAACAGAACUUACUCUAAUUGUUUUUCUGAUUUCAGACUCG